Molecule: ribosomal RNA, 565 nt
Filed under: Alteromonadaceae bacterium NB0054_03
Lineage: Bacteria; Pseudomonadati; Pseudomonadota; Gammaproteobacteria; Alteromonadales; Alteromonadaceae
Description: bacterial SSU rRNA
Rfam family: Bacterial small subunit ribosomal RNA
Source: RNAcentral
CUGAAGAGUUUGAUCAUGGCUCAGAUUGAACGCUGGCGGCAGGCCUAACACAUGCAAGUCGAGCGCGAAAACACUUCGGUGUGAGUAGAGCGGCGGACGGGUGAGUAAUGCUUGGGAAUCUGCCCAGUAGUGGGGGAUAACGUGUGGAAACGCACGCUAAUACCGCAUACGUCCUACGGGAGAAAGCAGGGGAUCUUCGGACCUUGCGCUAUUGGAUGAGCCCAAGUCGGAUUAGCUAGUUGGUGGGGUAAUGGCCUACCAAGGCGACGAUCCGUAGCUGGUCUGAGAGGAUGAUCAGCCACACUGGGACUGAGACACGGCCCAGACUCCUACGGGAGGCAGCAGUGGGGAAUAUUGCACAAUGGGCGAAAGCCUGAUGCAGCCAUGCCGCGUGUGUGAAGAAGGCUCUAGGGUUGUAAAGCACUUUCAGUAGGGAGGAAAAGCUUAAGGUUAAUAACCUUGAGCCCUGACGUUACCUACAGAAGAAGCACCGGCAAACUCCGUGCCAGCAGCCGCGGUAAUACGGAGGGUGCGAGCGUUAAUCGGAAUUACUGGGCGUAAAGCG